Erinaceus europaeus (western European hedgehog) is the source of this 321-nucleotide long non-coding RNA. RefSeq lists it as uncharacterized. The record is from RefSeq and is a predicted model, not a curated record. The transcript has 2 exons. NCBI's taxonomy places the organism in Eukaryota, Metazoa, Chordata, Mammalia, Eulipotyphla, Erinaceidae.
GGGAAAGCUUUGCAAGUGGUGAAGCAGGGCUGCAGGUGUCUCUUUGUCUAUCAUCUCCUACCUUCUCGAUUUCUGGCUGUCUCUAUCCAAUAAAUAAGUAAAGAUAAAUAAAGAGAUGUAGGGACCAGGCGGUGGUGCACCUGGUUAAGUGCACACAUUAUAGUGCACGAGGACCCAGGUUCAAGCCCCCGGUCCCUACCUGCAGGGGGAACGCUUCAUGAGUGGUGAAGCAGGGCUGCAGGUGUGUCUGUCCCUCUCUAUCUCCUUGGCCCCUCUCAAUUUUUCAGUCUACCCAAUAAUAAAUAAAAAUUUAAAAAGUGA